Molecule: transfer RNA, 69 nt
Filed under: Pristimantis rhodoplichus (Canchaque robber frog)
Lineage: Eukaryota; Metazoa; Chordata; Amphibia; Anura; Strabomantidae
Description: tRNA-Val
Rfam family: tRNA
About the family: Transfer RNA (tRNA) molecules are approximately 80 nucleotides in length. Their secondary structure includes four short double-helical elements and three loops (D, anti-codon, and T loops). Further hydrogen bonds mediate the characteristic L-shaped molecular structure. tRNAs have two regions of fundamental functional importance: the anti-codon, which is responsible for specific mRNA codon recognition, and the 3' end, to which the tRNAs corresponding amino acid is attached (by aminoacyl-tRNA synthetases). tRNAs cope with the degeneracy of the genetic code in two manners: having more than one tRNA (with a specific anti-codon) for a particular amino acid; and 'wobble' base-pairing, i.e. permitting non-standard base-pairing at the 3rd anti-codon position.
Source: RNAcentral
CAGAACAUAGCUUAAAAAAGCACUUCGCUUACACCGAAUAGACGUCUAUUAAACCUGGACUGUUCUGAG